GGAAAUAUCCUAGGAUGCAUCUUGCUGAAUUUAUCAAUUUUAUUCUAUUUGAAAACGUGCAUGAAGAGCUUGCUCGCCACUAUUGCUUCCAGUCAGGAUGGGAUGAUGUUGUUUAGGAGGUGUUCAUAGUACCAGGUCUCCAUAGACAUGACCGUUUCAGAAUAGGAACAAGAUAUGAAAUAUUUUCAAUCGCUUCUCAGUUCUGAAAUUAGCUCCUCUCUUCAUGUAUUGCCGUGGGACUAAUCAAGUACUUGAUCAUCGAAGGUGGCGGUAAGGCGUGUGAGCAAUUAAUUAUCAGGUGUUAGCUUGGAAAGGCAUAUGCAAGUGUUGUCUUCGGGAACCCCAAGUUCAUUUCCAACAACAAAUGUAGAUUUUGAUUCCUAAAUAUAAUAUGCAACUGAAUCUGUAUUACAUUUUCGUUCAGUAAUAUGUGAAUAUUUGUGCCAGUUUUGUACAUAUUAGGAAAAAAGCUACAAUCAAGACAAAAUUAAACACAUGUUAUCUGAUUCUUUAUGAA
This is a long non-coding RNA of Lolium rigidum, 517 nucleotides long. RefSeq lists it as uncharacterized. The record is from RefSeq and is a predicted model, not a curated record. The transcript has 3 exons. Lineage: Eukaryota; Viridiplantae; Streptophyta; Magnoliopsida; Poales; Poaceae.